UAGUUUGAUCCUGGCUCAGGAUGAACGCUAGCGGCAGGCUUAAUACAUGCAAGUCGAGGGGCAGCAUGACUGUAGCAAUACAGUUGAUGGCGACCGGCAAACGGGUGCGGAACACGUACGCAAUCUACCCAAAACUGAUGAAUAGCCCUCCGAAAGGAGGAUUAAUACAUCGUAACUUAAUGAAGUGGCAUCACUUUAUUAAUAUAGCUCCGGCGGUUUUGGAUGAGCGUGCGCCUGAUUAGGUAGUUGGCGGGGUAACGGCCCACCAAGCCUGCGAUCAGUAACUGGUGUGAGAGCACGACCAGUCACACGGGCACUGAGACACGGGCCCGACUCCUACGGGAGGCAGCAGUAAGGAAUAUUGGUCAAUGGACGCAAGUCUGAACCAGCCAUGCCGCGUGAAGGAUGAAGGUCCUCUGGAUUGUAAACUUCUUUUAUGUGGGACGAAACCUCUUAUUCUUAAGAGACUGACGGUACCAUAGGAAUAAGCACCGGCUAACUCCGUGCCAGCAGCCGCGGUAAUACGGAGGGUGCAAGCGUUAUCCGGAUUCACUGGGUUUAAAGGGAGCGUAAGAGGGCAGGUAAGUCAGUGGUGAAAUCUUCGAGCUUAACUCGGACACUGCCGUUGAUACUAUCUGUCUUGAAUACCGUGGAGAUGAGCGGAAUAUGUCAUGUAGCGGUGAAAUGCUUAGAUAUGACAUAGAACACCAAUUGCGAA
This 718-nucleotide ribosomal RNA is filed under the name uncultured bacterium. RNAcentral's name for it is "bacterial SSU rRNA". It matches the Rfam family "Bacterial small subunit ribosomal RNA", at positions 9 to 719 of the family's 1533-position model. The record is from RNAcentral.